UGAAGAAACAACGAACAAAGAAAAAC
Molecule: non-coding RNA, 26 nt
Filed under: Cricetulus griseus (Chinese hamster)
Lineage: Eukaryota; Metazoa; Chordata; Mammalia; Rodentia; Cricetidae
Source: RNAcentral